This 354-nucleotide ribosomal RNA is filed under the name uncultured bacterium. RNAcentral describes it as "bacterial SSU rRNA". It matches the Rfam family "Bacterial small subunit ribosomal RNA", at positions 8 to 350 of the family's 1533-position model. The record is from RNAcentral.
AGAGUUUGAUCCUGGCUCAGGAUGAACGCUAGCUACAGGCUUAACACAUGCAAGUCGAGGGGAAACGACAUCGAAAGCUUGCUUUUGAUGGGCGUCGACCGGCGCACGGGUGAGUAACGCGUAUCCAACCUGCCCACCACUUGGGGAUAACCUUGCGAAAGUAAGACUAAUACCCAAUGACGUCUCUAGAAGACAUCUGAAAGAGAUUAAAGAUUUAUCGGUGAUGGAUGGGGAUGCGUCUGAUUAGCUUGUUGGCGGGGUAACGGCCGCCAAGGCUACGAUCAGUAGGGGUUCUGAGGAGGAAGGUCCCCCACAUUGGAACUGAGACACGGUACCAAACUCCUACGGGAGGCA